GGACCUCAAGGUUUAGGUCGUCCUCCUAUUGGAAAUACAUGUUGACCACGAAUGCUUCCGCAUACCCAACUGGACUUGCACCAGUCACUGCCACAAAAAGAUCAAGCUCUCGACGAGUGGGAGAAUCGGAAUUUCCAGCUUGAUUCCCUUCACGUCCAUGCAAUCAUAAAGCCCAUUUGUGCGGUAUCUUGCCAUGAAUAACAUGAUAGCUUCAUGUGGACGGUUGACACUCCACCCAGUAUGUUACAAAGCUAAAGGAUCUUGUUUGGUUGGGGAGAAAGUGUAGGGAAAUGGAAGGAACCAAAAUCUUUGAACACUGCAUGGUCUCAAAUUUUGGGGUUCUUCAAGAAUAAGAUAACUUGUCUGGUUCUGUUUUUUCUUGGUUUUGUAUGGAACCAAAUAGAGGAGUGAGAAAAUUGCUGUUCUCGGUAAUGUUCUUGUUUGAUUUUUGAUGUUCUUCCACUUCUUUGUACAGGGAAAGCUAGAUGGUUUGAAACGUAAAUGCAUGUGAUCAGAAUUAAAAAGAUUAUUAAAAAAGAAAAGAAAAAACAAGAAGAGUAAAGAUUGUUCUUCUUAUAGGUUAAUGGACGUGAAGAUCAUCAAGUUGGAAAUUUGCGAUUCACCCGGUUUUCAAUGGCCAUAUAUUCAUCUGAAACCGUGUUGCAAUGUUCGUUGACAGCUUGAUAUUUCUGUGGCAGUGACGAUUGCAAACCAAGAAAAUAUACCCUGUAAUUUUCUUUUAUUUAUUUUUCGUUUCUCAGCAACCAAAUGGACAUCGCAGGAGGGUCGACUUCAAUGCAUGAAGGAGCUAGCGGCAAAGUACGAAGGGGAGGUGGCCAUAAGCUCAAAAACAACAUAGCCAAACAUAGCCAAUCCGGUAGUACAAGUCCUGGUGCAACGCCACUGUACCAGGUCUUCCACCAGCACCUCCAUCUAUUCAUCCUCCUUAUCCUAUUAUUGGUAUGUCUAAACCUGCAGCAACACCAUACACUGGGGAAAGCCACCACCAUAUUAUCCUCCUUUUCUGUGUAGGAAAACAAUUCCUCAUUUCGUUUAGGCUUAUCCGGUUCACAUAAAGCUGGAGGGAAAAUAUAUUAUUAUAUUCUACAUCAAACUUAUUUCACUUUUUUAA
Long non-coding RNA from Vitis riparia (riverbank grape), 1132 nucleotides. RefSeq lists it as uncharacterized. The transcript is spliced from 2 exons. Lineage: Eukaryota; Viridiplantae; Streptophyta; Magnoliopsida; Vitales; Vitaceae. The record is from RefSeq and is a predicted model, not a curated record.